Molecule: long non-coding RNA, 972 nt
Filed under: Olea europaea subsp. europaea
Lineage: Eukaryota; Viridiplantae; Streptophyta; Magnoliopsida; Lamiales; Oleaceae
Source: RNAcentral
CAUGGAGUUGCCAUUCUUCCCCCUUUCAGUCAUAAGCACCGCAUUGUCAAAUUGAGUAUUUUGUCCCUAAUCUUCUUCCUUUUGAGAUCAAGUUGCUUGUCACUUCUGCGAAACUCGGAGAUUCCUUCCCAUACAUCACAAUUGGCUUGAUAUAUUCAUAGGUAGAUGGAAGAGACCAAAUGAGCCUAGCGCCUUAUCCUCAUCAUUUAUCUUCACUCCAAUAGAUUCCAGUUCUGAAACAAUCCCGUUGAGAAUACUCAAAUGGUCUGAGAUUUUCGUACUUGCCUCCAUGCACAAUGAAUGGAAUUUCUCCUUCAGGUACAAUCGAUUUGAAAGGCUCUUUGUGUGAUAUAGUUCUUCUAACUUCUCUCAUGGUUCCUUUGUAGCAGAUAUUUCAUGAAUAUUUGUAAAAACGUUUUUAGCCAGACAAAGAGGUAUCAUGCUUGUAGCUUUCAAAUCCAAUUCCCAUUGCUUAUAUUGGAUUCAGUUUCUUUAUCGAAACUUUUGGUUGGUUUUCCCUUCAAAGCCUUGUGCAAACCAACUUGAAUCAAUAAAUCAUUAACUUUUACUUGCCACAAGCCAAAAUUAAUUCUCCCGUCAAAUUUAUUCACGUCAUAUUUCAACGACGACAUAUUUUUCUGCUGCUCCAAUACUUCGAACCACUUGACGCCUAAUACCACUUGUUGGAAAUUUUACGUCAAUUCUGUUUAUUUCCAUUUACCCACACGAUCUUUUGUUAUUCAAGAGAGUAUUAGCAAACAAGGAAAAAUAAAGAAUAUAAUGCAAAAAUUAAACGGACCGUCAAAACUUUUCACUAAAUGUAAAAUUGUUACAAUCAUAUAGAAUUUCACUCACCAACCCAAUCCCUUAAUAUUACAAAGAAAAAAAAAACCUCAAGCUUUACAACACUCACUUUUCUACCCGAUGUAUGAAAAAUCUCAAGUUGUUAGGCUCACAAUAUUUUCCUCUCAG